GACGAACGCUGGCGGCGUGCUUAACACAUGCAAGUCGAACGGAAAGGCCCUGCUUUUGUGGGGUGCUCGAGUGGCGAACGGGUGAGUAACACGUGAGUAACCUGCCCUUGACUUUGGGAUAACUUCAGGAAACUGGGGCUAAUACCGGAUAGGAGCUCCUGCUGCAUGGUGGGGGUUGGAAAGUUUCGGCGGUUGGGGAUGGACUCGCGGCUUAUCAGCUUGUUGGUGGGGUAGUGGCUUACCAAGGCUUUGACGGGUAGCCGGCCUGAGAGGGUGACCGGCCCCAGUGGGAUGGGGGACGGGCCACAACGCCAACGGGGGGCAGCGGUGGGAGAUUGUGCGAAAUGGGCCGAGUCCUGAAGGAGCAACCCCGGGUGGGGGAAGGCGGUCUUUGGGGUGUAAACCGUUUUCGCCUGUGACGGAGCGUGGGGGAGGGUACUGGGUAAAAAAACACGGGUAAACCCGUU
RNAcentral lists this ribosomal RNA (467 nucleotides) under uncultured bacterium. RNAcentral's name for it is "partial 16S ribosomal RNA". It matches the Rfam family "Bacterial small subunit ribosomal RNA", at positions 28 to 507 of the family's 1533-position model. The record is from RNAcentral.